CAGGUAACACGAAAUCGUACCCCAAACCGACACAGGUGGUCAGGUAGAGAAUACCAAGGCGCUUGAGAGAACUCGGGUGAAGGAACUAGGCAAAAUGGUGCCGUAACUUCGGGAGAAGGCACGCUGGUGCGUAGGUGAAGCGACUUGCUCGCGGAGCUGAAACCAGUCGAAGAUACCAGCUGGCUGCAACUGUUUAUUAAAAACACAGCACUGUGCAAACACGAAAGUGGACGUAUACGGUGUGACGCCUGCCCGGUGCCGGAAGGUUAAUUGAUGGGGUUAUCGCAAGAGAAGCUCCUGAUCGAAGCCCCGGUAAACGGCGGCCGUAACUAUAACGGUCCUAAGGUAGCGAAAUUCCUUGUCGGGUAAGUUCCGACCUGCACGAAUGGCGUAAUGAUGGCCAGGCUGUCUCCACCCGAGACUCAGUGAAAUUGAACUCGCUGUGAAGAUGCAGUGUACCCGCGGCAAGACGGAAAGACCCCGUGAACCUUUACUACAGCUUGACACUGAACAUUGAGCCUUGAUGUGUAGGAUAGGUGGGAGGCUUUGAAGCGUGGACGCCAGUCUGCGUGGAGCCAACCUUGAAAUACCACCCUUUAAUGUUUGAUGUUCUAACCUGGCGCCAUAAUCUGGCGUGGGGACAGUGUCUGGUGGGUAGUUUGACUGGGGCGGUCUCCUCCCAAAGUGUAACGGAGGAGCACGAAGGUCAGCUAAUCCUGGUCGGACAUCAGGAGGUUAGUGCAAUGGCAUAAGCUGGCUUGACUGCGAGAGUGACGGCUCGAGCAGGUGCGAAAGCAGGUCAUAGUGAUCCGGUGGUUCUGUAUGGAAGGGCCAUCGCUCAACGGAUAAAAGGUACUCCGGGGAUAACAGGCUGAUACCGCCCAAGAGUUCAUAUCGACGGCGGUGUUUGGCACCUCGAUGUCGGCUCAUCACAUCCUGGGGCUGAAGUAGGUCCCAAGGGUAUGGCUGUUCGCCAUUUAAAGUGGUACGCGAGCUGGGUUUAGAACGUCGUGAGACAGUUCGGUCCCUAUCUGCCGUGGGCGCUGGAGAAUUGAGGGGGGUUGCUCCUAGUACGAGAGGACCGGAGUGAACGCAUCACUGGUGUUCGGGUUGUCAUGCCAAUGGCACUGCCCGGUAGCUAAAUGCGGAAGAGAUAAGUGCUGAAAGCAUCUACACGAAACUUGCCCCGAGAUGAGUUCUCCCUGAGACCUUGAGUCUCCUGAAGGAACGUUGAAGACGACGACGUUGAUAGGCCGGGUGUGUAAGCGCAGCGAUGCGUUGAGCUAACCGGUACUAAUGAACCGUGAGGCUUAACCUU
This is a non-coding RNA of Cronobacter sp., 1318 nucleotides long. Lineage: Bacteria; Pseudomonadati; Pseudomonadota; Gammaproteobacteria; Enterobacterales; Enterobacteriaceae. The record is from Rfam.